This is a long non-coding RNA of Xenopus tropicalis (tropical clawed frog), 730 nucleotides long. RefSeq lists it as uncharacterized. The transcript is spliced from 2 exons. NCBI's taxonomy places the organism in Eukaryota, Metazoa, Chordata, Amphibia, Anura, Pipidae. The record is from RefSeq and is a predicted model, not a curated record.
AUAAUACCAAAUGACCGCUCAUUGCGCAUGCCCCAUUAUUGCGCGGGAAAUUUAAACACCCAGACGUCCUAAUUGCUGCUACUAGCAGAGCCACCAACCGGAUGGGGAACUCUACCCGGCGUUUUGCAGAAUCCGCUAUUGGUGCCCCUCCUGAGAGGAAGAAACAGUAACAAGGACUGAGUUAGUGGGUGAGGAAAGUUCACCUUUGUCUCCUGCACCCAUUCCUGCUCGAAUGCACAGGUAUCGCCAGCGAUCCACCUCACCACUGGACCUGCUCUUUCCUUGCCUUGAAUUCACCAAAUCAAAUAUAUGCUGCAUGCAACCUUGUAAAAGAUUUACAUUCCCAGUUCUCUGACCUGAGGAUGCAGAGGAUAUAUAAUAUAAUGACUUGCAUACUCUACACCUUAGUGUUGCACAAAACUAAUGGUUUCUGCUAUCACCAGACCUAAGUGCUAAGACUUGAAGCACAUGAGGCAUUUUAUGUUGCAUAUUUCCAGAGAUAAAACAUACAUUGUCCAUACACAAAGCUGCCAUAAAAUGCCCCAUGAACCAUUACCCUAAGGAUGUAAUAUAGCAUUCCAAUUGUUCAUGUGCAGUAAUAACACAAUUAAUCAUGUUGACGAGUACACCAUUUACAAGCCAAUGAAAUGUACUGUAUUGUAAUGUAACUGUACUGAGCACUUCCUUAGAGGCAGCCUUAUAUAGAGAAUCACUGUGCACCUUUUUGGAA